Molecule: unclassified non-coding RNA, 1359 nt
Filed under: Hevea brasiliensis (rubber tree)
Lineage: Eukaryota; Viridiplantae; Streptophyta; Magnoliopsida; Malpighiales; Euphorbiaceae
Source: RNAcentral
AGAGCUUCCAUCAUGCUUAGAAGAGUUAGAAGUAUCAGAUUGUACCUCUCUGGUAUCUGCAUCAAUUUCAUCCCUUUUACGACAACCUAAUAAAAAUUGCUGAAUUGAGUUUGCUAAUUGCAUCAAUCUGGGUAAGAAAGUAUGCGUGAAAGUUAUGGAGGAUGGAUUGGAAGCGCAUCUGUAUAUUCAGGAAGUCUUGGAAGCACAUUCUAGAAUAAAAGAGAAUAUCAAGCUAUGGAUCCCUGGAGGUGACAUGGCGGAAUCUAUGAGAUAUAAGAAUAAGAGUGGAUCUACGCUUUCAUUCAGACUUGACCUCCAUAACUUAAUUGGUUUCUUUUUUUUCUGUUAUCUGUAAUUUGGAGGCGUGUUUUAAUGAACUAACCGUUUACUGUGAAGUAGAUUUGAAUGGAUGUGAGGAAACUUAUGAGCUUGAUCUUAUGGGCGGGCCGUUUACUUCACACGUGUUUCUUUGCUUCUGUUCUGAAACUUUCUAUGUUGAUAAAGAAUGGUUCGUUGACGCUUCAUUUAUCUUCUACUUGGUAGCGGCAAGGAAGGAUGAUGUGCGGGCAUUCGUUUUUGACAAGGAGGCCCUUAAGUGUGGGGUACAUCCUAUAUAUAAACAUGAUAUGGAUGACAAGAAAGGCAAACCUCUUCUUGAAAGACUGGAACAAAAUGAGGACGAAAAUGACUUUGUGAAUGAUGAGGAGGAAAAGGAAAAGGAAAAGGAAGAGGAGCCUUCCCUCGAUGAAAUUCUAAAUCUCUGUCUGCCUCUUCCUACUUGCCUGACCGAACCAAACUCAAAAUGACAACAGAACAACAGAGGAAAAGGGAGAAGGAGAAGAAGGAAAGAAAGAGAGAAUUUGAAGCAAACCAUGCGGCAGAUUCCUUGGCAAAGCAAGGCCUUGCGUGAUGAUGAUUUUGUGGCAUUCUUUGAUUUUGAAAGAGUAGCAAGGCUUAACAAGAAUCAGUUGGUAUUUGAUCGAUCAUCCAGGUCUAUUCCAGAGAUAUGUCAAGCUGCCCAAUGUGGUUGAUGAAUUUCAAAAUUCUGAUUACUGGAGCUCUGGUUCUUUGCCUCUAGUGUCACGUUGGGAAGCACCAGCUGUUGGCUUUGUGAAGAUCAAUUCCGAUGCUUCUGUUUCUGCCUGAUUAGGUUGCACUAACUUGGCUGUCGUUUAUGGAGAUAGCAUAGGCGACGUCUUAUGGUUUGCGGGGCGCCGGUACAGUGCCCUACAUGAUGUUUGUUAGCAUGAUUAUAGGAUAAAUUGUCUUUGCAUGAAGAUUUGUUUAGCAUAAUUACAGCAAUUAACAUGAUUAUAGGAGAUUUGUGUAAAAUAACUACAGCAAUUAUUAUUCUUGUCU